GACGAACGCUGGCGGCGUGCUUAACACAUGCAAGUCGAACGGACAGGCCCUGCUUUUGUGGGGUGCUCGAGUGGCGAACGGGUGAGUAACACGUGAGUAACCUGCCCUUGACUUUGGGAUAACUUCAGGAAACUGGGGCUAAUACCGGAUAGGAGCUCUUGCUGCAUGGUGGUGGUUGGAAAGUUUCGGCGGUUGGGGCUGGUCUCGCGGCUUAUCAGCUUGUUGGUGGGGUAGUGGCUUACCAAGGCUUUGACGGGUAGCCGGCCUGAGAGGGUGACCGGCCACAUUGGGACUGAGAUACGGCCCAGACUGCUACGGGAGGCAGCAGUGGAGAGUAUUGCACAAUGGGCGGAAGCCUGAUACAGCGACGCCGCGUGCGGGAUGACGGCCUUCGGGUUGUAAACCGCUUUCGCCUGUGACGAAGCGUGAGUGACGGUAAUGGGUAAAGAAGCACCGGCUAACUACGUG
This 468-nucleotide ribosomal RNA is filed under the name uncultured bacterium. RNAcentral's name for it is "partial 16S ribosomal RNA". It matches the Rfam family "Bacterial small subunit ribosomal RNA", at positions 28 to 507 of the family's 1533-position model. The record is from RNAcentral.